RNAcentral lists this ribosomal RNA (460 nucleotides) under uncultured bacterium. Its description in RNAcentral is "partial 16S ribosomal RNA". It matches the Rfam family "Bacterial small subunit ribosomal RNA", at positions 338 to 795 of the family's 1533-position model. The record is from RNAcentral.
CCUACGGGUGGCAGCAGUGGGGAAUAUUGGUCAAUGGGCGCGAGCCUGAACCAGCCAAGUAGCGUGAAGGAUGACUGCCCUACGGGUUGUAAACUUUUUUUAUAAAGGAAUAAAGUGAGGCACGUGUGCUUUUUUGUAUGUACUUUAUGAAUAAGGAUCGGCUAACUACGUGCCAGCAGCCGCGGUAAUACGGAGGGUCCGAGCGUUAUCCGGAUUUAUUGGGUUUAAAGGGAGCGUAGAUGGGUUGUUAAGUCAGUUGUGAAAGUUUGCGGCUCAACCGUAAAAUUGCAAUUGAUACUGGCAGUCUUGAGUGCAGUUGAGGUAAGUGGAAUUCGUGGUGUAGCGGUGAAAUGCUUAGAUAUAAGGAGGAACACCAGUUGCGAAGGCAGCUUACUAAACUGCAACUGACGUUGAUGCUCGAAAGUGUGGGUAUCAAACAGGAUUAGAUACCCCUGUAGUC